AUACGGAGGAUCCGAGCGUUAUCCGGAUUUAUUGGGUUUAAAGGGUGCGCAGGCGGGAGAUUAAGUCGGCGGUGAAAUUUUGCAGCUCAACUGUAAAAGUGCCUUCGAAACUGGUUUCCUUGAGUGUAGAUGAAGUAGGCGGAAUUUGUGGUGUAGCGGUGAAGUGCAUAGAUAUCACGAGGAACUCCGAUUGCGCAGGCAGCUUACUAAACUACUACUGACGCUCAGGCACGAAGGCGUGGGGAUCAAACAGGAUUAGAUACCCUGGUAGUCCACGCAGUAAACGAUGAUUACUAGCUGUUUGCGAUACAAUGUAAGCGGCUGAGCGAAAGCGUUAAGUAAUCCACCUGGGGAGUACGUUCGCAAGAAUGAAACUUAAAGGAAUUGACGGGG
This 393-nucleotide ribosomal RNA is filed under the name uncultured bacterium. Its description in RNAcentral is "partial 16S ribosomal RNA". It matches the Rfam family "Bacterial small subunit ribosomal RNA", at positions 523 to 918 of the family's 1533-position model. The record is from RNAcentral.